Molecule: ribosomal RNA, 443 nt
Filed under: uncultured bacterium
Lineage: Bacteria
Description: bacterial SSU rRNA
Rfam family: Bacterial small subunit ribosomal RNA
Source: RNAcentral
GAUGAACGCUGGCGGUAUGCCUAACACAUGCAAGUCGUACGAGAGUUUUUAACUCUAGUGGCGGACGGGUGAGUAACACGUGAGAAUUUGCCUUUAGGAGGGGGACAACAAUCGGAAGCGAAUGCUAAUACCCCAUAUGCUUUCGAGUGAAAUGGAUUUUAUCCGCCUAGAGAGAAGCUCGCGGCUGAUUAGCUUGUUGGUAAGGUAAGAGCUUACCAAGGCGACGAUCAGUAUCUGGUUUGAGAGGACGAUCAGACACACUGGAACUGAGACACGGUCCAGACUCCUACGGGAGGCAGCAGUGGGGAAUUUUCCGCAAUGGGCGAAAGCCUGACGGAGCAAUACCGCGUGAGGGAAGAAUGCCUAUGGGUUGUAAACCUCUUUUUUCUAGGGAGGAAGUCAAAUGACGUGUACCUGAAGAAUAAGCAUCGGCUAACUCCGUG